Molecule: long non-coding RNA, 2056 nt
Organism: Rhineura floridana
Lineage: Eukaryota; Metazoa; Chordata; Lepidosauria; Squamata; Rhineuridae
Exons: 3
Source: RefSeq, a predicted model, not a curated record
CAGUUCAGUCUGGUCUUCAGCACCAACUGUUGUGACCCACUAGAAGCUCUUUGGAACAGGAGGCAGUGAUGGCCACCAACCUGUAUGGCUUUAAAAGAGGAUUAGACAAAUUCAUGGAGGAAAAGGCCAUCAGUGGCUACUAGCCAGGAUGGCUAUGCUCUGCCUCUAUAGUCAGAGGCAGGAUGCUUUCAAAUACCAGUUGCUGGAAACUAGGGAUGAAAGAACAAGGCCUGGAGACGACGCCCAAUGACCCUCUAGCAGAGAUGGGACUCGUAACCAGGCCCAAGUCCCAAUCGCUUUCUGCUGGGUUGUUGCAGCUUUUUGGAGGAAGCAGCACAUUCUUUAUUCAUCUUUCCACUCCUAAGGAACAACUUGCCCUUUCAAGCCAGGGAUUGCUUUAAGGGCUUGUGUAUAAAACUAUCAAUUGAUCUGUGGAGUCCAUUAUCUUGCGGAGCUGCUCUUCACAACGUUGCCAGUAUGCAUCUGAGCAUUCAAUGCCUCUUAUUGUAUUUUAUCAUUUGCUGAUGUUCUACAAAAGAUUCUUUAAAAGGCUGCCAAACAGAAGUCUAUAAGCCACUGUGGACAAUCAGCCCGGUUUUUGUUUUACUGUAACAAAAAGCAGUCCUGAUAGCACAUCUUGACAUAUUUUUUUGGCCAACCAAACCAAACCAAUUACCCUGGCCACAUAUGCCACCUAGCGGGGAGAGUGGAGAACACCACAUUUCAGGUCCUAGUGAGAGAUAGUCACCAAGGUACUCAGCCUUAUUACCAUUCUUUAAGCAGAUCCUGUUAGUGCCUUGACUCCUAGUCAUGAUGGCUAUACAUUACCCCCAGCAUCUGAGGCAGCAUCUGAGGUCCCUGAAUGCCAGUUGCUGGGGAGAGAGCUGCUGCACUCAGGUUCUGCUUGCAGGCUUCCUGUUGGUGCACCUGGUUGGCUACUGUGAGAACAGGAUAUUGGACUAGAUGGGCCCCCCUUUGGCCUGAUCCAGCAGCCAGGCUCUUCUUACAUUCUUAACACUUCUCUGCAUCGGACUGUGCAAAGCAAGCAAGGACUUCUGCAAACAAGACAGGGGAGUGGCAUCCCCUACUUGUCCUCCUCAAUAAUUUCUUCAGCUUUGUAUUUGGAUGACUUUAAAAGAUGGUCAAAAGAGGAUUCAAUGGCUAUGUUCUACCUCCAGUGUUGGAGGCUGGAAAAAAUGGAAAUGGACUGCCUUCAAGUCCAUUCCGACUUAUGGCAACCCUAAUUUCCCUGCUCUUCUCCUCUUGGCUCCUUGUUCUACGCUUGCAUGGCCCAGUUCCAAGUCCGAUACAUGUCAAGUUUGCCCUUUUGCUUUUGGGUUCUUUGACAGCUUCCUGGAUGCCCAGCACUCUUCCCUCUCCUGAUACAGGACCAGUAACUUCUCUCUCAAGUAUUCUUAAGAGUAAUUUUGCUCUUCCUUCGCCUCCACAAGACUGCAGCCCUUUAACCUGGGAAUAAGUGCCAUUGAAUUCAGUGGGGUUUACCUUUGAGCAAGCACGGUUAGGAUUGGGCAGCAAUCCAACAUGCACUUACAUGGGAGUAAGUCCUAUUGAACCCAAAGGAGCUUACUUCUGAGUAGGCAUGUAUUGGCUUGCAGCCUAAGUUAUCAGUCCAGAGUGCCCCUUAUUUACUUAGAGGACCGUGGCUUGCAGGGUAGAGCACCUGGUUUGUACGCAAAAAGUCCCGGGUUCAGCCCUCAGCACCUCCAGGUAAGGCUGUGAGAUAUGCCUGCCUGAAGCCUCACCUAGCAGUCUCGAGCACAGAUAUUAGACAGGAGCCACCUCUGGUGUCUUUUUGGCACCUGCUGAAGACCUUCCUCCUUCAAUAAGCCUGCUAAGUGGAGACCUUACCCCUCUCUGCAUGUGUUGGAAUUGCUUGUUAAAGAUGUUUUUAAAGCUUUUUUUUAAAAAAACAUGUUUUGUUGUAAUGUGUUUUUAAGAAUGUUUUGUUGUAAUGUGUUUUUAAGAAUGUUUUGUUGUAAUUUAUUUUAAAGUCUGUUUUUAUUAUCUUUUAGACUAUUUUUAGUGCUUUUGUUUG